This is a long non-coding RNA of Girardinichthys multiradiatus, 1552 nucleotides long. RefSeq lists it as uncharacterized. The record is from RefSeq and is a predicted model, not a curated record. The transcript has 3 exons. NCBI's taxonomy places the organism in Eukaryota, Metazoa, Chordata, Actinopteri, Cyprinodontiformes, Goodeidae.
CAUAUCAAAUUCUAGACAGGUUUUCUUUCUCUGUUGGUGGCUUUAAGCGGAUUCAAUAUAAACAGAAGUGAAAGAGAAACAAUUUUUUUUCACCAUUUUUACUUUAGAGGAGUGGAGACAUUUGCGCUUGGGCGCUGCAGCUGAUUACAUCGGGGAGGAAGCGCGCAAGUCCCAGAAUGUGUUUAAAUUCGCUGGCAAAGCUUCUGCAGAGAAUAAAUAUGAGCCAGAGAUUCCCUUGGAAGAGAGGAAAAAGCGGUUUUCCCCACUGCCUGAAGAAGAGGGCCUGAAGAAGAGGCAGCUUUGCAUGUCUGAAGCGUACAGUCCAAGCAGAGGUUUUGCCCCCUCCUCCACAUCUACUGAGAGCAGCCGUCACGGCUUAUUUGUUCACUGUCUGGACUUUCUUCAAUCCUACCCAUCCUGACGCUUCAUGUAAGAGGUGGUGUCUGGGCAGACAAAAUUAGUUUGGGAUGAAACAAUCUAAAUUUUGUUUAUUUCAUGGUGUGGUGCUUUUGUUUGUGGAGUUAGACCAUUUGAGCUCAGCAGGCUACAUUCUAAGCUAGUGGUAAUGGCUUAUUGAGGUUUUGGUUGUGUUUUAAAGUUAUGAAAAACUUUGUUUUAUUGAAUAGUUUAAACACAGGUCAGCCGUAACACGCUGCCAGCACUCCCUCGCACAUUUAUAUUUAUAUUCAUUGUAGUAAAAGGUACAUGUGUGACUUAAAGGAGUGGUGAAUUAGCUAUAAGCGUCCCUUUUUUUGCUGAAACCGCUAACUGCUAGUGCUAGUGCCAGGAAGGUCAAAUAUUUAUAUCCUGCUUUUUGUCAUUUUGUGAAUCCAUAGACUUUCCUCUCCGACAUUUUAGUAGUCCGUUACUCCAUGUGGUGACUAGUUAAAAUAACAUUAAGAUCAAGUGUCCAAAAGAUUACCGAUUUCUAAUUCAGCAAAUAAUACUUUCUUAAAUACUAUUUUACUACAACAAUAGUGACUUUCAAACAACAUUAAGAAUUAAUUCUCCAAUAAUAUUAUUGAUUUCUAAUUCGGCAAAUAAUUCUUGUUAAUUAUUAUUUUAUUGAAAUAAUGUUUUACUUACCCUUCUGACUUGCAUUGUGAAUUGGUAGUUUAAACACAUGUGAAUUGUUCUUAAUUAGAUUAAAACUAAUUGACUUAAUUAAUGCUUGGUUCUUAAGCAUUAAUAUCCACACUGAAUUGUCAUAUCAUUGCAUAAUUUUUAUUGGUCCCCUUUUCCCUUUUUUUGUUUAUAGCUCAUUAGUUUCUUUGCUCUUACAGGUUUGCUUAGUAGUUUAAGUUAAAUUUUAAUAGCCUAGUUAAAGAGUUUGUUAAUUGAAAUAUUUAACUUUGAAUUGUUUUGUUAAUAUAUUCCUAUAUUUCUGAAAUAAGCUGUUGUGAAUUUAUUCCAUAUGUGUGCAGCGUUUGCUGUUUUGAAAAUGCCAAUGCUCGAAUCACUCUUUCAUCUAUUGUUCCAUAAUACCACACCAUAUUGGGCUGGUAUUCAUAGGAGUAACACUACAAGAUCAAUAAAAAGCUUCUGUUCGUCA